CUACCGUUGGAGCUUUUCAGCAUCCCGGAACACGGUGCAAAUCCGUGGCGGUCCCGCCGCUGUAAUCGGGGAUGAGCUGCCGCCGAGGACGAGAGUCCGGUCACUUUCAGGGUCCACCUUGAGGGGAAGGCCGCGGUGGCUCAGACGAUCCGAGAGCCAGAAGACCUGCUGAAAGGAACCCGCCGAC
RNAcentral lists this non-coding RNA (187 nucleotides) under Syntrophobacteraceae bacterium. Lineage: Bacteria; Pseudomonadati; Thermodesulfobacteriota; Syntrophobacteria; Syntrophobacterales; Syntrophobacteraceae. The record is from RNAcentral.